AGACUCUAUAACACUCUGUGAUGUGAGCGACGAUUCUGCGGUCUGCAUUUGUGAUCUGCGACAACAAAAUAGGCUGCAGAUUUGCAUUGAUGCAAUAUCAUGCUCUUUUGUUCUCUUUUUGCUUCCAUUUUCUUAUCCUUGGUCUUCCAUUCCUCUUGUGCUAUAAGAAAAACAAAUAUGCAUGAGUAUUAGUUAUAAUUGUAUUAAAACAAGCUAGAAUCUAAGCAAUUAGUAUUGAAAUGUGCCGAAAUUCUUCGGCACAUCAGUAUGCAGACUGCCUGAACAUAGAAGUAGUUGUAAACCAUUUCAUAGAAAAAGGCAAAAUUACUUAAGGAAAAGAGCAAACUGCAGAUCUUUUUCACGAGAGGAGUUAAGAAAAACCCAAAUUUAAUAAAAUUUAUUUUUUAGGCAGAACUUUAAGAGAAAAAUUGUUUUACAAAAGGUAUGAAUUUAAAGAACCUAAAAAUACACUAGUUCAAAAGGGUUUUAUUAAAAGAUUGAGUCUUUCGAAAAUAUUACUGAAUUAAGACGUUAAAGACCAUUUGACAGAUUGAUAUUGCUUUAAAUAAAUUAGUCGAGUUUUGAUACAAAAUCAUAUGGGCAUGAUAUCUACAUUUGAUUUUUAGUCUUGUUAUAGACAGAUCUAGCACUAGAGUUUGCCUAAUGAGGAUACAGUCCCUAAAGACAUGAUUUUUAUAUGCAUUGAUUUACACAAACGUUAAAGUCGUAUAGGAAAAAUUUGUAAUUGUUCAAAUAUGAUUAAACAUUAAACCCUAUAGGAAUGGUAUUUAGGUGGCUUGUAGCAUAAUUAAACAAUAAAACUCUAUAGACAUGGCAUCCAGGUGGCUUGUAGUAUAAUUAAUCCAUAAAAACCUAUAGACAUGAUAUCUACCCUUUAUUGAUGAAAGAAAGUAAAACCCUCCCAUACUUCCCAAAAAUUCUUUUAUAUAAACUACUACAGAACCAGAAAAGAAGAAAGAAAAAUAUAAAACAAAUCAAAACUACUGCUAGAUCUGGGAAGCCUAAUUCAAUCUCAAUGUCCAAUAACAUGCCAACUUCCUAAAUCCAGAUUUCCAAAGCCUUCUACUUAUCCCAAGUGUUUCAAUUUUUCAAGAAAUCUCAAGGAUUCCCAACAUUGCUUACACUCAGGAUACCAUCAGAAUUAGAAUAAUACAGUGUGGAAAAGCCAACCCUCAUGCAUCAAAGUUCAAAGAGAGCUCAGAAGUCCCAAAUCAUGACUUGCAAGAGAGGGGCAUAACUAAUAGCUAAGAGUACGUGCAAAGUGAUUGUCGAACCAUAACAAAUAGUUGUCAUACCUAGCCAUAGGUGCAGACUGGCACACCCCUUGCCAUUUGUUUGGUCAAACAAGUUAGGAGCAGACCCUUGAUAGCCAGACAUGAGUCUGAAUGAAGAGUAG
RNAcentral lists this long non-coding RNA (1417 nucleotides) under Nicotiana benthamiana. Its description in RNAcentral is "long non-coding RNA (NBEN_LNC020781)". The record is from RNAcentral. Lineage: Eukaryota; Viridiplantae; Streptophyta; Magnoliopsida; Solanales; Solanaceae.